This 253-nucleotide ribosomal RNA is filed under the name uncultured bacterium. Its description in RNAcentral is "partial 16S ribosomal RNA". It matches the Rfam family "Bacterial small subunit ribosomal RNA", at positions 524 to 776 of the family's 1533-position model. The record is from RNAcentral.
UACAGAGGUCCCGAGCGUUGUUCGGAUUCACUGGGCGUAAAGGGUGCGUAGGUGGCGAGGUAAGUCGGAUGUGAAAGCUCGGAGCUCAACUCCGAAAUGGCAUUGGAAACUACCUUGCUCGAGGGUUGGAGGGGGGACUGGAAUACUUGGUGUAGCAGUGAAAUGCGUAGAUAUCAAGUGGAACACCAGUGGCGAAGGCGAGUCCCUGGACAACUCCUGACACUGAGGCACGAAAGCUAGGGGAGCAAACGGG